RNAcentral lists this ribosomal RNA (496 nucleotides) under uncultured bacterium. RNAcentral's name for it is "partial 16S ribosomal RNA". It matches the Rfam family "Bacterial small subunit ribosomal RNA", at positions 30 to 523 of the family's 1533-position model. The record is from RNAcentral.
AUUGAACGCUGGCGGAAUGCUUUACACAUGCAAGUCGAACGGUAGAGGGGGCAACCCCUCGAGAGUGGCGAACGGGUGAGUAAUAUAUCGGAACGUGCCCAGUCGUGGGGGAUAACGUAGCGAAAGUUACGCUAAUACCGCAUACGAUCUAAGGAUGAAAGCGGGGGAUCGCAAGACCUCGCGCGAUUGGAGCGGUCGAUAUCAGAUUAGGUAGUUGGUGGGGUAAAGGCUCACCAAGCCAACGAUCUGUAGCUGGUCUGAGAGGACGACCAGCCACACUGGAACUGAGACACGGUCCAGACUCCUACGGGAGGCAGCAGUGGGGAAUUUUGGACAAUGGACGCAAGUCCGAUCCAGCCAUUCCGCGUGCAGGAUGAAGGCCCUCGGGUUGUAAACUGCUUUUGUACGGAACGAAAAGGUCUCUCUUAAUACGGGGGACUCAUGACGGUACCGUAAGAAUAAGCACCGGCUAACUACGUGCCAGCAGCCGCUGUAA